AAGGUUGUUCCAACAAGUCCGAAACAGUCAUGAUAUAACAAUAUUAUUACAACCUUGUGUCAUCAAAAUGUAAUAUUCUUGUCAUAUCAUGACUGUAUCAGACUUUUUAGAACAACCUU
Paramuricea clavata is the source of this 119-nucleotide non-coding RNA. The record is from the annotation of a GenBank genome assembly. Lineage: Eukaryota; Metazoa; Cnidaria; Anthozoa; Malacalcyonacea; Plexauridae.